Molecule: long non-coding RNA, 1051 nt
Filed under: Marmota monax (woodchuck)
Lineage: Eukaryota; Metazoa; Chordata; Mammalia; Rodentia; Sciuridae
Source: RNAcentral
GUCCCCACCCCCUCUCGGGGCUGGUCAGGGGAGCCCUGUGGGGCCUUCACAGUUUUACAGCACUUACCUAUCCUGCAGGGAAAUGCCUUUUUGUUUCCCUGACCUGAGUUCAGGGCUCUUGGCUCCUGGAGGCAAGGAAUGCUCCUUGCACAUGUUUUACUUGCUAUAAACAGUUGGUGCCAAAUAACUGCUGGUUGAGUGGAUGAAUUAAUGACUCACAGGGAGCAGUGACCCUUUCCCUUGACUGCAGGAAAGCUAUUGGUGAGCCACAAGCCCACCGUCCCCCAUCUUCCCUGGCCUACUGUCUCCCCAUUCACCCACCAACUCCAGAAACGCUUCCCAGGGACUCUCAGGGCCUGGUUCAGUCUCCAUUAGUGGGUCAGGCUGUCCUUCCCCCCUGCUCCUUGUCCCACUGACAUGAACUUUAUUCUGCUUGUGCCUCCCACUGCCCGUGGGUUCUUCUUCCUCUGGUUCCAUGGCUACUUGGGGACCUUGAGACUCCUUCAACUCAUUGCCACAUGCUGUCUUGACACUCCCUGGUCACGUUCCCGUGCAAGGAUGUCAUCUUUUCAGGCUGGAUCACUCCUUAGUUUGAUACUUGUGUCACCCACCCAGUCAUUGUGGCUCCAGGAAUGAGAUGCAGGGUCACAUGGUACAAAAUGAGGGCUGCUCCUUCAGCAGGAACUGGAGUGGAGUGUGUUUUCCUUUGGAGAGGUUGUGGGGUUUGCUGGGUGUGUUUCCUGCAUACAGUCACUUACAGAAUUGUUUAUGGUUUUUGUCCAGUGAACACUCAGGGCAGUGUUGGAUAAAUGACCUCUGAAUCUUAAUGCUUAUUUUUCUCUUUCCACUUUUAUUUUUACUGGUGCAUUAUAGUUAUACAUACUGAUGGGAUUUGUUGUUACAUAUUUGUUCAUGCAAACAAUAUAACAAUGUCAUUUGACCAACAUCUCCCCUGCCCCAUCACUCAUCACUUCCCUCUUCCUCCCCAUCCCCCCAUCUCUUGGUCCCUCUCCUCUGCUGAUCUACUUUUGAUUUUCACUAGAUCUCUGCU